AGCGGCGGAUGUGCGAGCGGG
RNAcentral lists this unclassified non-coding RNA (21 nucleotides) under Chlamydomonas reinhardtii. Its description in RNAcentral is "small RNA Cre_0482". The record is from RNAcentral. Lineage: Eukaryota; Viridiplantae; Chlorophyta; Chlorophyceae; Chlamydomonadales; Chlamydomonadaceae.